GACGAACGCUGGCGGUGUGCUUCACACAUGCAAGUCGAACGAGGUAGCAAUACCUAGUGGCGGACGGGUGAGUAACGCGUGGGAAUCUGCCCAUAGGUGGGGGAUAACUAGCCGAAAGGUUAGCUAAUACCGCAUAUGCCGAAAGGUAAAAGGAGUAAUCCGCCUUUGGAUGAGCCCGCGUCCGAUUAGCUAGUUGGUAGAGUAAAAGCCUACCAAGGCGACGAUCGGUAGCUGGUCUGAGAGGAUGAUCAGCCACAAUGGGACUGAGACACGGCCCAUACUCCUACGGGAGGCAGCAGUGGGGAAUUUUACACAAUGGGGGGAAACCCUGAUGUAGCGACACCGCGUGAACGAAGAAGCCCUUUGGGGUGUAAAGUUCUGUCGGCUGGAACGAAAAAAUGACGGUACCAGCAAAGGAAGCAUCGGCUAACUACGUGCCAGCAGCCGCGGUU
Molecule: ribosomal RNA, 452 nt
Filed under: uncultured bacterium
Lineage: Bacteria
Description: bacterial SSU rRNA
Rfam family: Bacterial small subunit ribosomal RNA
Source: RNAcentral